AGAAUCAACGCUGGCGGCGUGCCUAACACAUGCAAGUCGCACGAGAAAGGGGAGCAAUCCCUGAGUAAAGUGGCGCACGGGUGAGUAACACGUGAAUAAUCUACCUCCGAGUGGGGAAUAACUGAGAGAAAUCUUAGCUAAUACCGCAUAACACUUACGAGUCAAAGCAGCAAUGCGCUUGGAGAGGAGUUCGCGGCCGAUUAGUUAGUUGGCGGGGUAAUGGCCCACCAAGACGAUGAUCGGUAU
RNAcentral lists this ribosomal RNA (246 nucleotides) under uncultured bacterium. RNAcentral's name for it is "partial small subunit ribosomal RNA". It matches the Rfam family "Bacterial small subunit ribosomal RNA", at positions 26 to 286 of the family's 1533-position model. The record is from RNAcentral.